AUCCCGAACUCGGCCGUGAAAGGCGACCGCGCCGAUGGUACUGCGUCUUAAGGCGUGGAAGAGUAGGUCGCCGCCAGGU
This 79-nucleotide ribosomal RNA is filed under the name Rhodothalassium salexigens DSM 2132. The record is from RNAcentral. Lineage: Bacteria; Pseudomonadati; Pseudomonadota; Alphaproteobacteria; Rhodothalassiales; Rhodothalassiaceae.